This 468-nucleotide ribosomal RNA is filed under the name uncultured bacterium. RNAcentral describes it as "partial 16S ribosomal RNA". It matches the Rfam family "Bacterial small subunit ribosomal RNA", at positions 28 to 507 of the family's 1533-position model. The record is from RNAcentral.
GACGAACGCUGGCGGCGUGCUUAACACAUGCAAGUCGAACGGAAAGGCCCUGCUUUUGUGGGGUGCUCGAGUGGCGAACGGGUGAGUAACACGUGAGUAACCUGCCCUUGACUUUGGGAUAACUUCAGGAAACUGGGGCUAAUACCGGAUAGGAGCUCCUGCUGCAUGGUGGGGGUUGGAAAGUUUCGGCGGUUGGGGAUGGACUCGCGGCUUAUCAGCUUGUUGGUGGGGUAGUGGCUUACCAAGGCUUUGCCGGGUAGCCUGCCUGAGAGGGUGACCGGCCACAUUGGGACUGAGAUACGGCCCAGACUCCUACGGGAGGCAGCAGUGGGGAAUAUUGCACAAUGGGCGGAAGCCUGAUACAGCAACGCCGCGUGCGGGAUGACGGCCUUCGGGUUGUAAACCGCUUUCGCCUGUGACGAAGCGUGAGUGACGGUAAUGGGUAAAGAAGCACCGGCUAACUACGUG